AAUCAAGCCCAAUCAUAUUUAUUUCACAGACGAUUGUUUUUUAACAUACCUAGCCUAUGAAGAAGGAGGAGGGUUGGACAUGGGGGUGUUCAACCUAGCAGAUGGAAGCAUUCAGCCGCAUUACAAUGGUGUUUCCCUCAGUCGUUUUUGUCCUCCAACUUGGGUAACGCCAACUCUCUAUUGAAUUUCAGUCAUACAUACUCACUCAUCAUAGCUAUUGUUUUACUCAAAAGUUUUUGAAUGUUUUGAUUUAUCUUUCUUGUUUUCAUAUAAUUGGAUGCUUGAGUAUGUUG
Molecule: unclassified non-coding RNA, 293 nt
Filed under: Hevea brasiliensis (rubber tree)
Lineage: Eukaryota; Viridiplantae; Streptophyta; Magnoliopsida; Malpighiales; Euphorbiaceae
Source: RNAcentral